UAUAACAGGUUGUUGGCUUGAUUUCUGACU
RNAcentral lists this non-coding RNA (30 nucleotides) under Rattus norvegicus (Norway rat). The record is from RNAcentral. Lineage: Eukaryota; Metazoa; Chordata; Mammalia; Rodentia; Muridae.